AAAGCAUAUCAUACAGUUAUUAUAUAACACCACGCCUUUAGACAUUUCUAAAUAUACAAAACAUAAGGUACUGAAUUCUUUUACAUAGACUGAUAUGACUCAAAAAUACAAUGGUCAAUGAGAGGACAAAAAAGGCACAGGAUUUUCUUUUGUACAUCAAUGCCAACUAAAAAUAAUAAGAAUUGUAAUUAAAGAAAAGCGACCAAAAAAACUGUUAAGAGCAUUUGUCUUACACUCUGACUCAAUGUUUUGCUGGCACAUUUCCUCAUGAACAAAUUUGCUUUACUAACCCUCCUAUAAAACUUUCAGCUGGAUGUCGGUGCCACCGAACUACCCGCUCAAUUGUAGGCUCAACUCCAACCAGCUCCAUUCUAGGAAUAGAUGGAUUUGUAGUUUUCGACUCCUACUUCAAAAAAGUUUGUUGGGCCUCUACUUUGAGUGAGAACCAUACAGUCAUACUGCAAACACAUAAAAAGUAACGGUUGAAGUAAUGCAGAAUAAUAUUCUCAAGUUUAAUAUACACAGGAAAAUGAAAAUAUCAUUAUAACAAACAAGGAAAAAGGUUUAUAAGUUCUAUAUUGAUGCUCACAAUGUCUCUAUCCAGCUCAGAAAGUCAUUUUACUUUUGAGAGCAUCAUCGAUUUAAUCUUUAUUUUCUCAAGUGGAUAACAAUUCAUCAUUGUCACCAACUACACAAUAGGAAAUGUGAAUAAAAAGACUGCAGUAAGAAUUAAGGGAGAAGUCCAGGGAAGUUUAACCCCCACUCUCAAAUGAGGGAUCCAUGUGCUUACUUUGCUUUCCAUGUAGCUUCAAGAUAAUGUAUUACCUGUUGUAGAUUUUUACUCGUUCUCACUGCCAUUCUACUGGAAAUUCCACAAGGAAAAUACAUGCCUUCUUCUUUCAUAGUAGUGAACGCUGAACCUGGACCAUCAAAGAGAAGAUAAUUUCUCAUCAAAUUGCCCAGCACUGUAAUGAGAAGAGAAGCAUCCAUAAAGUAAUAGACAAACCGAAUCUGAAUGUACCUCAUCAAAUGAAGGUGGCAGAAGUGUGGUGACCUAGCAUAGAUGUUUCACAGCCUCAAGGCUUGCAGAAUCAGAGAAGUCAGAAGCCUGCUAUGUAUAAUAUGUAGGCAUGUAUUCUUACUUCAUGAGUCUCUUAUCUACUUUCCAGUAGGCAAAUUUUUGUAAGCAGACUUAUCUUACUUGAGAAUCCUCGCUUCUUUCCAGAUUUCUUGAGAAAAGUUUAUGGUCAUUGGUCAUCAUAACAUCUACAUUUUAGCGCUGGGUAAUGAAAACAGAACAUGGUAAAUUUACCUGAAUAUGUCCCACAAAUAUUUGUACGAUGGAUGUUAGUUUAACUCGAACCAAUUGCACUAAUAAAAUAGAACACUUAGAAAGAAGGUAAAAUCAGCCUCAGCAACAACGACUUUCACUAAGUAGAAGGACAUUCCCUUCCCCAGCAGCCCCACACCAAGACCUCGAAGCGAGCUUCUGCUAAAAAUCAUAAAAUGAAAUGUGGCUUUACAGAAGAUAAUGAUUUUCCAUCAAUGUUAGAAUAUCAGAAAUUAUCCAGUUCAAAGAACGGAAAGGUAAAGAAGGUGGACCUGUGGGAAAGAUCAAGCCUUCCUCGGCAGUGCAAAAAUAGUCGCAGUACACGCUCCCGCAGUGCACUGCCUAACACAAAGUUCUUUAUUGCUUUCUCGGAUAUAGAGAAUAACUAAAUAUUUCAUAUUUUUAUAUUAGGUUUUUUAAACAUUUUUUCCACUCUCUAAGUCUCCACUAAUUAGACUGAAAUAGAGUCUAGUAAAUUAAUAGCCGAUUGAUAUUUUUUGAGGUUUGGCGACCAUCUCUUUUUCUGUUCAGCUAGUACUAUAACAAAAUUCUGUAGAUACCUUGGCAACAGUAGCGGAAUCCUUAACACAAACCAGUAACCCAAGUACAUGGUAGCUAAGAAUAUAUAGGCGCUAACUUGGAGCAAGAGAACUCCUUUAGGUAUUACCAUUAUUAUUGUCAAGCACAUCUACCAGAAUCUUUUUUUUAAGGGAGAAACAUGACAGUAGCCAAUUUAUUUAGUUCUCAUCAGUAAAUAAAAACAGGUACUAAAAUAGUUAUCCAGGAAGGGUAGCUUCCUAGUUGUAAUCAUACCUAAUUGUAGAACUUCGGGUACGAUUUAGUGUGAAGGACGCACCUUCUGACCUCCUGACCUCCAGCCAGAACAAUCAAAUUGAUCAACAUAUUGGAUUGGCCUGCUUGGGACGUAGCUAGUAAGUCUAGCUAUCUUGAUUGGGACGUAGCUAGUAAGCCUCAUGAAAUCAAUCCAGUGGCCUGCUUGGACGUAGCUAGUAAAUCAAUCUAGCUGAAAACGUCCCAAGCACCAGGAGGAAU
Molecule: long non-coding RNA, 2383 nt
Filed under: Triticum aestivum (bread wheat)
Lineage: Eukaryota; Viridiplantae; Streptophyta; Magnoliopsida; Poales; Poaceae
Description: long non-coding RNA (TAES_LNC016089)
Source: RNAcentral